GAUGAACGCUGGCGGCAUGCUUAACACAUGCCAGUCGGACGGGAAGUGGUGUUUCCCGUGGCGGACGGGUGAGUAACGCGUAAGAACCUGCCCUUUGGAGGGGAACAACAACUGGAAACGGUUGCUAAUACCCCGUAGGCUGAGGAGCAAAAGGAGGAAUCCGCCCGAGGAGGGGCUUGCGUCUGAUUAGCUAGUUGGUGAGGUAAUAGCUUACCAAGGCGAUGAUCAGUAGGUGGUCCGAGAGGAUGAUCAGCCACACUGGGACUGAGACACUGCCCAGACUACUACGGGAGGCAGCAGUGGGGAAUUUGCCGCAAUGGGCGAAAGCCUGACGGAGCAAUGCCGCGGGGAGGUAGAAGGCCGACGGGUCGUGAACUUCUUUUCUCGGAGAAGAAACAAUGACGGUAUCUGAGGAAUAAGCAUCGGCUAACUCUGUG
Molecule: ribosomal RNA, 437 nt
Filed under: uncultured bacterium
Lineage: Bacteria
Description: partial 16S ribosomal RNA
Rfam family: Bacterial small subunit ribosomal RNA
Source: RNAcentral